Molecule: transfer RNA, 76 nt
Filed under: Palleronia marisminoris
Lineage: Bacteria; Pseudomonadati; Pseudomonadota; Alphaproteobacteria; Rhodobacterales; Roseobacteraceae
Also listed under: 2 other names
Description: tRNA_Trp_CCA
Rfam family: tRNA
About the family: Transfer RNA (tRNA) molecules are approximately 80 nucleotides in length. Their secondary structure includes four short double-helical elements and three loops (D, anti-codon, and T loops).
Source: RNAcentral
AGGGGUUUAGCUCAGUUGGUAGAGCAGCGGUCUCCAAAACCGCAGGUCGUGGGUUCGAGUCCCUCAGCCCCUGCCA